This is a long non-coding RNA of Oncorhynchus tshawytscha (Chinook salmon), 1501 nucleotides long. The record is from Ensembl. Lineage: Eukaryota; Metazoa; Chordata; Actinopteri; Salmoniformes; Salmonidae.
AUGAAAGUGAAAACAUGGAGUAUGAUUUCAAGACUUGCUGCUAUCGAAUACAGAUCGCCCCGUGAUCAAUUUGAUAGAUUAUUAACGUUUAUUAAUACCUAAAGUUGGUUUAGAAAAGUAGUUUGAAGUGAUUUGUAAAAGUAUAUAGGCAACUUUUGUAAUUUUAAAAAGUGACAUUGCGUCUUGUAGAGGGGCAUUUUUCUGGAUCAGACCGGUCUUCAGCAAAUCACAUUUUGGGUAUACAAUGACGGAUUUAAUCGGGAAAAAGACCCAAUUGUGAUGUUUAUGUGACAUAUAGGAGUGCCAAGAAAGAAGCUCGUCAAAGGAAAGAACAUGGACACAAUGCAUUUGGGAUCAAGAAGAAGGACUCGAGACCACAGCAGCGAUCCUGCUCUUGCCCUACUUCUUCAAAGAGGACCAGAGUGGCCUUUGCACAAAUGAUCUGUUUCUUCAUAAACAUAGGUUUCACCGCUCUUCACUCCUUUACUGCACAUUGGCGGAAAUCCAUUUCACCAUGAGAGUGAAAUCCCGCUGGCCUUUGAUGGGGAGAACAUCCACGCCCUAGAGGACGUCCCCAUGGGACUUGGGGCUCUGUUAGGGCUGUAUUUUUUUUUUCCCCUUAAAAUUCCCAAAAAUGUCAGAAAAACACUUAUGUUCUUAAGUUACUGUGUUAAGACAAUUUGGGGUGAAGUUACCAGGGCCGGUCAUAAAGAUGACAAACUUCCUAACAUAACUAAGUGGUUGUUGGGCAAGUGGUUGUUAGACACACACACACACACACACACACACACACACACACACACACACACACUAAAGCUAAAAAAUCUGUAUUUAGCAAGUCUACAACCAUAAUAAAUAAUACAUUAACUUUGUAUAGUGCUUUUCAUUACAUUUAAAAUGUUUUUUUAAUAAUGAUGUACAAUAAAAACAACAUACAUUAAAAAUGAAUCAUAGGUAAACUAACAACUAGUAAACUAGCAAUUUUGUAGUGUGUUUUCUUUGGUAAAUUGUUUUGUAAAUAUUAUUUCACAUUUGUGGUGCCACUAAAUAAACAAUUAAUUAUUUAAUAUUGUUAUUAUUAUUAAAAUAUGCAGAUGCAGAUUAUUUAGCUACCUGACCCAUGAAAAAAGUCACAGCGGGGCUGAUGGAAACAGGAUGUGCCGAUAGAAUUGUAAAAAUACCGACAGACAAUUUGUUCGUUCGACAUGGUGGGAUCUUUUUGUGUCGGCAAAAGUAAUUAUGCGUGAAAUUGCGGUGGAAACGGAUUUAUGCGCAAAUAUUGAUACAGUAUAAUAGGCUAUACCUAUCACGCGAUUAUAUGUUGUUUGGUCCUCCCUCUACGACUCCGGAAACUAUGCAGUUUAUUAGGUUACAGAUGAUAAAUAAUAAAUUAUGAUGAACUUUACAGUGUGGUAAAAGUGCACGUGAUGAGCUUGAUGCUCCUUUCCAAUAAAUAUCAAGGGUCUUAUUCUGGUGACAUGUUACUGGUUGUGACUGCCGU